CCCCCGUGCCUUGCUCACAGCUUCCAGCAGAAGAGAGGCACCCAGCCUGGAAGGGCCCCGCACCCGCCCCCCGUGCCAGGCCCCAGCCUUGUGGGCAGUUAUUAGCACAAGGCCUUCCCGCAGUUGCCCCCUUGCCCCCCCCCAUGGGCAGAAGCACGAAGCCCCCGUGGCUGCCGAUUCCCUGUGGCACGAAGAUUGACCCCCAUGAGCGCUGGGUUGUGGGGCCUGUGCUUCCUUAAGCCACGUAUUACGCUGCUCCCACCCCUGUGCGCUGCUAGGCCAACAGCCAGGAAGGGCAAGCCCGAGCGGCUCGUGUCCCAGGGCUGCACAGGAGCUGCAGCGCUUUGUUCCCCACGAUGAUUUCAUGCCGGGGGAAUGCAGACGCCAGCCUGUCCUUCUGACACCCGGCACUUAAGGUGGCUCGCGUCCGGGCAGGUUGGGGCUGGUCUCCCCUUGUCUCCGGCAUCCAUUAAGAGGAGCAAAGCUCUGGACGGGGGAUACUGGAACCUGCUUGUUUGAGGGGAGCGAGGGGACUGCCAGCUCUGCAAUCGGCUCCCGCGGGACAGAGCUGUAGGGAGAGAAGUAGGAUCUGGGGGGACGGGGAGGACACAUUUAGUGAGCUCGUGGCUGCAUCUUGGCGAGAGGAACUGAGGUGAGGAGUCAAGGGGGCAAUUCUCUUCCACAUCAUGUAAAGAGAGAGCGAGGGCAGGGAGCAGCUUCGAGGCUGCCACGGGCACCGGGGGGCAACAACAGCUCUGCCUACAGCACAGCACCGGUGAGUGAAGCCUGCGGCCAGGCCCUGGCCCUGGCAGCAUCCUGCCUCCCAGCACUGCUCUCCCAGGGACCACGGCCUACACGCGGCUGGCGGGGUGCAGAGGACAAGCAGGCUGUUAGUCUGCGCCCGGCUGGCGGGCUGUGCGCGGGGAGAGUGUGCAGAGCGGUGACGAGCUGUUCGCCACGCACUGUGCCGGGUAGAGAGGGCCCCAGACCCGUAAAGCAGGGGAGAGAAUGGAUGCUCACCUCCCAGCGCUGUGAACCGAGUCAUCCACGUGCCGUUGGGUGCUUCCAGCCUCCCAGUGAAACCCGGGCUCCUCUAUGGGCUGGGGGAUCCCCGCUGACAGAAGGUGGCAGCUCGCCACUUCCUUUCCCUUUCUGUCCGUGACAAGGAGUUUAGCAGUCACAGGUUUGCUGGACUUUGACGGCCAUGCGAGCGCUUCUGCUGGGCCCUCCGCCAGCACCCGUGCAUCGCAGCUGGGGCACCGGGCCAGUCACCGCAGCCCUGCCCAGGCUGGCUCCGACCCUCGUAAGCAGCCAGGCGAGCAUGGCCAUAGCUGGCUCGGAUGCAAAGUGAUUGCCACCAGCUUUGACAUCCCUCGGUCCGUCAGAUGGCCCUUUCCCAAGGCGUGGGUCACCGGUCGCUAGCAGUCUUGGACAUCUCCUUUGCUCUUGCAACCAGGCACCAGAAGGCUCCUUCUCCGCAGAUCCAGCAUUUCUCACGUGACGUGAUCUCAUUAGAGCUCGGUGAGAAGCCUUAACCACCUGCAGGCCCUGGCGUCCCCUGCCUCGUGGCUAUGCCACGCAGCCCUGCAGCCUUCUGCUUGUUCAUCUCAUCCAGGCAUCCUCUACCUCACUCUCUCAUUCGUUUAGCCAAGGCUUUCGUCAGAGACCAGCCCUGCACCCUGCGGUCUUGCUCUCUGCUCACAGCUCUCAGGAAUGCCUCCCCCUGACCCGGCUCUUCCCAGGCUCUGCCAGCACCUCGCCUCCCUCAUCAGUAACAGAGCAUCCAGGGAAACCGAAGUGUUUGGCCAGAGGCAUCCACCUUUCUGGGGCUGCGGUCAGGUCAGAGGCCGUUCCUUCUUGCACAGAAGGAGCCAGUGCAGACAGCCGGAGCACUGCAAGCAGGGGUGGCAUAUGUGAUGUUGGCAGAGGAGCAGGGGAGCGAACCCACAUUGUCUGCGAUGACGGUCUGCAUUGGUGAGGGGGCGUCACUCGCAUCUGGGGCUGGAGCAAGAUCUGGCACCUUGGAGAGAAGAGGAGUCAGGUAGCCUGUUGCUGGAGAGACGCCGUGUGAGGCUGGGGGCUGCCGGUCAGCCAGGACACGUUUGUCCCCCAUGGCUAUCUUGAGAUGGCCACACUUCCAGAGGUAUUUCAUGAUGUGUCUAAGGCGUUCAAGCUGGGGGCUGUAGGUGACAGCCAGAAGGACUCUGUUGUCCUUGUCUUGGAUUGAUAUUGCAGCAGGGCAGAGCAGGGCUCGGAGUUCGGCUCCGUGGCUUUGCAUGGCUGCAGUUUUAGGGUGGUGUUGAGACUGUAGGAGUCCUUGCUCCAGAUCCUUAGGCGUGCAUCCUGGCCAGAGGGAUCAGAGCAGAUACGGUGGUAACGUAGAGCUUGGCUGGAGACGCUGGACCUAGCAGCGUGUUCGGGAUGAGAACUACUGGCGUGGAGGUCGCUGUAGUGGCCGGUUGCUUUCCAACACUAUGUGGAGGUGAAGUGACCAUCACAAACUUUCACAGGGGUGUCCAACCAAUGAAUAUGCUGAGGGGAGUCAGUUUGACGGGGUGGGGGGGAACCAUUCGGAUCCUCUCUGUCAAGUCUAACCUGUUCUUGAACAUUUCCAGGCCUCGAGAGUCUGCACCUUUUCUAGGCAGCCUGUUCCAGUGCUUUAUUGCCCUCAGAGUGAGGAAAUCCUUUCUGAUUGCCAGCCUAAAUUUCCUCUGUUAUAGUUUGAGGCCUUUGCUCCCAAUUCUGACUCCUUCAGCCACAGGGAAAAGUCUAUCUCCACCCGCCGUAUAGCAGCAGUUCGAGGUCUCCCAGCCUGUCCUUGAAAGCCAAGCUUCCCAGACCUCCCAGCAUUUUUGUCCCUCUCCAAUGGACUCGUUCCGAUCUGUCCACAUCCUUCUUGAAGUGUGAGGCCCAAAGCUGGACACGGGAUGCCAGUGCCCUGCGUCCAACCCGCACAAGUUGCAUCGUCCCUUCCACCUCGCUCGUGCAUCUAAUGGGCUCGUGAUUUCCAUCCGCACCUGGAGAAACUGCCUGGAGCUGAAGCGACUUACCCAGUGGCACAGCGUGAGUCCGUGGCAGAGACCCGAUGCCGAGCCCACCGGCUCUCAUCCACAAAGCCACCGCAGGCGCCUGGCUCGAGCCUCCGGUCACCUCACAACAAAGAGUCCGGGGCGGGCAGCCUCUCAGGAGUUUGCAUGUACAGUUUAUUUUUUUCACAACAGAGAAAUACAAAGAGCAAAAUUCUUUUUCUUUUUUUCCUGACGCCGGCCGGUCAGUUGGCUGGAUUUUAAACAUAAUGCAAACUUUCCAUUGGGAAGCCACAGCCUCUGCAGGGCUUCCCACUCACCACAAUGCAAGACAGAAACAGGGGAGGGGGGGCUUUUUUUUUCCUUUUUCUUUUUUUAAUAAGGUAUUAACUAGCUCUAGAGACAUGUGGCCUGGAUUCUCAUAUAGAAAAAAAAGGAAACAAACAAAAAAAAAAGAGAUGUGUUAACAGUAUGUAUAAGAGGCCUAUUUACACGGUAUUAACAUGCUGACAAAAAAGGUUACAAUAUUGAAUAUCGUACAACAUCACGUCAGAAACAAAGAGCAGGGGACAGGGCCGAGGAAUAAAAAGAGGUUCAAAUUAAUAAACAGAGGAGUAGGCAAUAAACAAACAA
This is a long non-coding RNA of Alligator mississippiensis (American alligator), 3659 nucleotides long. RefSeq lists it as uncharacterized. The transcript has 2 exons. The record is from RefSeq and is a predicted model, not a curated record. NCBI's taxonomy places the organism in Eukaryota, Metazoa, Chordata, Crocodylia, Alligatoridae.